UACGGGGGGUGUGAGCGUUGUCCGGAAUCACUGGGCGUAAAGGGCGCGUAGGUGGUUUGAUAAGGGUGUGGUGAAAGUCCGGGGCUCAACCCCGGAUCUGCCGUGCCGACUGUCAAACUCGAGGGCUGUAGAGGCAGGCGGAAUUCCGGGUGUAGCGGUGGAAUGCGUAGAGAUCCGGAGGAAGACCGGUGGCGAAGGCGGCCCUCUGGACGGUGACUGACGCUGAGACGCGAAAGCGUGGGGAGCAAACAGG
Molecule: ribosomal RNA, 253 nt
Filed under: uncultured bacterium
Lineage: Bacteria
Description: partial 16S ribosomal RNA
Rfam family: Bacterial small subunit ribosomal RNA
Source: RNAcentral